UUUUUCUUUUUUUGUUUUUUUUUUUUUUUUAUUUUGUUAUUGAUUUGUGUUGAUGUUCUUAGUUGUGAUAUUGUUAACCUGAGCGGUUGUUUAUUACGUUGUUGUUUUAUUGGCGUUAUUAUCUUGAUUUUCUUUUGUGUUGUUGUUGUUUUUUUCUUGUUGUGUUGUUGAUGUUGAUAUUGAUAUUAUGAUUUUUUGAUUUUUCUAACUCUAGUCUGUUCUAUCGAGUUGGCUUAUUAUUAUCUAAUGUCGAUUGUUUAUUUCACUAACCCUUUUUGAUAUAACUUAUAAAUUGAUUUGAUAAUAUUAUAAUGUCAAUUAUUUUGUAUCGGAAAACUUAUCUCUAUACUGCAUUAAUGACUUUCUAGCUUCUACAACUCAUCUUCAUCUCCCUAUUAUUUUAAUAGUUAAAAUUUUAAAUACUUAUAGUUUUCUUUUCAACUUCUUCAUUUGUCCAUUUUCAAAACAACAAAUGUAUUUCAAUUUGUUAUUUAAUUAUCUUGUGUUUAAAGAUUUGUAUUGUGUUAACUAACUAUAGAUAUGGACCUAUGUUUGUGUCAAUAGCCUAAUCAAUGAACUUGAACCGUAUUAACUGGUAUACUUGUAAUUUAUUUAGGAAUAAACCAAUUUAAAAUUGUGAUUUAGGUUUAACGUUACCAUAUUUGUCUAUUUGACUCNNNNNNNNNNNNNNNNNNNNNNNNNCAUAAGUUUCUUAAUUCUUCUGAUUUUCUGGACAAUCACUAGAAUAGUGACCAUACCUUUGACAAUUGUAACACUGAAUGUGACUCUUGUCUGGAUUUUGACCACCACCUCUUCCUUUACCUACAACACCACCUCUUUGGUUGUCUUGGUUCCAGGGUUUUCUCUUAUUUGACCAGUUUCUUUCUUGCUGAUUUCGACCAGUCGAAUUGUUGUAACCUCAUCUGCCUUUAUUUCCAUUCCAGCUACCUUUGUCUUUUCUUUCUUUUGUUGAUUGAGCCUGCAAAGCCGUAUCACUCUUCGACUUUCCUGCAGCUCUUUCAUCCAUUCUUUGUUCAUGAGAUUCAAGCGUCCCUUGAAGCUCUUCCUUUGUCAGUUUUGACAAAUCUUUUGACUUUUUUAUGGUUAUUACCACGUGGUCGAACUUUGGAGCCAAUGACCUCAAGAUCUUUCCAACAACAGAUCUUGAUGUAAACACUUCUCCGCAUACCUUCAUUUGAUUCACCAAUUUCAUAACCUUGGUGAAAAAAUCAGUUAUGCUUUCAUUGUCUUCCAUCUGAAGCAAUUCAUACGUUAUUUUGUGAGUUUGUAACCUCAUAUCUUUCACCUUCUUUCAUUGUCUUCCAUCUGAAGCAAUUCAUACGUUAUUUUGUGAGUUUGUAACCUCAUAUCUUUCACCUUCUUUGCGCCUCCAAACGAUUUCUCCAGAAUUUCCCAUGCUUCUUUUGCUGACUCUGCAUGACUAACCUUUUCAAAGUUAUAUGUAUCAACAUAUUGAUGGAUUAUAAAGAGAGCUUUAUAAUCUUUCUUCUUCAAUUCUUUAUGUGUAGCCUUUUCUUGAUCUGUCGCAGCUUCUGCAAGCGUUACUACUCCUUCCUUCACAAGAUCCCAAAGAUCUUGAUAACAGAACACAACCUUUAUCUGCUUGCACCAAUUCUCAUAAUUGGUGUUCUUGAGAAUUAGAAGAUUUGCUGGAAAAUACCCAUUUGGAUGAUUCGUUGCCAUGGUGAUUUUCUCCCCACGAAUCGAUUAAAUCGGAGCUCUUGAUACCAGAUGUUGGAAAUCCCCAAAAACCUAUGGAGAAUUUCAAUCAAUCUUGAUGAACAAGAUUGUAACUACCCACACAAUAACAACGAAAAAAGAAGAACAAUAGAGAGAAAAAGAAAGUAAAGAAAAUGAUAUAGUAAUUAAAUUUUGUCUUUUAACAGAAUUAUAUACAUAUGAAAUGUAUUGUUGUUAUUUGGUGUUAUAUUCGUUUUGGCUAUUACUUGGUGUUGUAUUCGUUUUGACAUUUUGUUAUUGCUAUGUCCUAAUUAUUUUGAUGGACAUUGUUACGUACAUUAUAGUCUUUUUUUCAUAUUGACCAUACUACUCAAUACUAAAUCAAAGUUAGUCCACCUCUAGUAUGUGAGGGUUUUAGCAUGGAAUAUACCUUCUUCAUACAAAAUUUCAGGAUUUCAUAUUUCCUACAUUUGAGUAUUUAUCGGUCUUUACAAUCUCGAGUAUAAGCAGAAUUAUCUUGAGUAUUUAUGUGCACAAAUUCUAAAAUAAUUUGAGAGUGCUUAAAAUACUAUAAAAAAGUGAUUUGUUCAUGAUUCUAGUAUCAGUCCAUUUGUUUUACAAUUGAUUUUUCUAAUAAUCUUAUAGUGGGUAAAAUAAUUGUAACGAGACUUCAGUUUCAAGUAUUAAAAAAUAAACUAUUGUGUCAUAGACACAUUCUAAAUACAAGAAUCAUCAUUCAAAAUCCAGGUAGGUAUUAUUUUUCAUAAAAUUAGAACAUUGUAAAAAUUAUAAUAUCAAUAUUCUGAAUAAAAUUUCUCUAACAAAUGAUAUUAGAGCAUGAAUACCUAUAUUAUGAUUUUUUGAUAAUAAAUAUAUACUUUAUUAUAUGAAAUUGAUCUUAAAAAUUUAGGAAAUGAUAGAGUAAUUAAAUUUUGUCCUUCUGUAACGGGAAUUAUAUAUAUAUGAUUAGUAUAUACUAUAUAAAUAUAUAUAUAUAAUAUUAGUAUUAUAUAUAUUAAUAUAUAUUAUAUAAUAUAUAUAUAUAUAUAUUACUAUAUAGCUGAUAUAAUAAGUCAUUACCUCUAUAUAUUAGGAUAUAUUAGGAUAGCAUAUAUAUAAUACCAUUAUAUCAUGUGGAUAGCUUAUCUCAACACGGUGCAACAUGAUUAGAGAUGUCGCUUGAGGGUACAUCUGCACGAGAGUGUGCGCAAUGUGCAUUGAAAUAGGUUAAAGUAUGAAAAUUAGCAGAGCUCGAUACCACAUGCGCGCAGGAUCAGAGGUCACGCAAGGGAAGUAUUUAAGUGAACUCUCUCCAGAGUUCACUUGUUCCGUCCUCUUAUUUCUCUCUGCACCUCUUCUCUCUCUCUCUCUCUCUCUCUUCCCUCCUCGCUCUCCGUCUCUCUCCUCGUCUCUUCGCUCUCUCUCUCUCCCUAGCUAGCCCAUCCUGAGCCACCAGUGGUUUUUCCUAAACCACCUUCCCAAACCACCUCAUUCAUACAGUUCCAUCCAAUGAUGAACACCAAAACCCGAAUCUCAUAUAACACAGAGAAACCUAUACUCUAAGUACGGCAUAACCUUAAUAACCCAGACCCCUAAGAUGAACCUAACCCAAUUUCAACUAUCCAAACCCAGAUUCCUUAUGAACUCUAACAACAUUGAUACGAACGCCUAACCCCUUUAGGAACCCUGACCUAACCUUGAACCAACCUAAAAAUAAUUAAGGUAAGUUCCUUCCAAAUACACCCAGAACAAGCAUCAAACCCUAGAUCCAAACAACAUGAACAUCGAUCAAAACAUCGAACAGAAAAUUCAACUAGAAAAUUCCCAAUCCUAGAAUCUAACCACUCUUAUGCCUAAACCUAAACAUCAAACCUUAAACAACAAACACAACACGAAUCAACACUCUUCACAAGAAUAAAAAAUAACACAUCAUGUAUGGUGAAAAGGAAGUACUAACCUACGAAGAUGAGACCUUCACCUGUUUAGAAAGGUAAAGUCUUUCUUCUUCUCCUUCUUCUUUAAUUUCUUUCCUACACCUUUUUCUUCACUACUACAAAUAAUACUUCAUGACGACGAUUUCACCUCACUGUAUUAAAAACCAGAUAUAAUUCCAGGAUGCGCCCUGUUUUUUUAUAUAAAAUAUAUAAUAUAUACGUCGGUUAUUUUGAAACACCGAGGUAAAACAUAUUCAGUUAUCAUGAUUAAAAUCCCAAUCAUCCUCCUGUUUAUAGUUAUCUCAAUUAAGUGGCGACUUAUUGAAUAUUUUAUUGUUAAUGCUAAAAGUACGCUACUUUUCAUCUCGGUUUUUCUUUCCGACUGAAGUGAAUAUAAUAUAUAUAUAGAUUAUAUAGUAUAUAUAUAUAUAGUAUAAUAUAUUAUAUUAUAUAUAUAUAUAUUAUAUAUAUAUAUAUUAUAUAUAAUAUAUAUAAUAUAAUAUAUUAUACUAGUAUAUAUAUGUAUAUAUAUAUACUUAAUAUUAUUUCCCUUGUAUCCAAUUUCUUUGUCUAAACAACAUAAACAAAACCUUAACGAGAUCCUAAACAAUGAGAGCCAUAAACACAUACCAUCUUGAUAUGAGAUGUUAUGUGUUUAGUACUCUGUUUCUUCUUCAGAGAUCCAAAUCAUUUCCUUUUAUUUUCUUCAGAGUCUGGUACGUCAAAUAUCACUACUAAUAUUGUUGUUGUUGUUGUUAUUGUUGUUGUUUUGGUUGUUGUUGUUGUUGUCGUUGUUGUUGUUUAUGUUGUUGUUGUUGUGUGUUGUUUGAUGUUGUUGAGAUCUGAAACUUUAGAAUUUUCUUGUUAUUUGUUUUUGUAUUGAUUUGUUUGUUUGAUGUUCUUAUUGUUGAAUAUUGUAAACCCUAGAGGUUGUUUUUGACGUUGUUUGUUAUUGGCGUUAUUACUGUUGAUAUUCUUGUUGUUGUUGUUGUUGUUUUUUUUCUUGUUUUGUUGUUGUUGAUGUUGAUAUUGAUAUUAUGUUUUUUAGAUUCUUUCUACAACUCUCAUCUUGUUCUAUCGAGUUGAGCUUAUUAUAUCUAAUGUCGAUUGUUUAUUUCACUAACCCCUUUUUGAACAUAUAACCUAAUAAAUUGAUUUUGUAAUAAUCAUAUGCAAAAUUAUAUGUAUCGGAAACUUAUCUUAUACUGAUUAAUGACUUUCUAGCAUUCUACAAACUCAUCAUUCAUCUCUCUAUUAUUUUAUAGUUAAAAUCUUUACAUAUAGCUUAAUCAGUUUGUCUUCAAGCUGUUCUUUCAUAUUUGUCCAUUUUUCAAAACAACAAAUUGAUAUUUCAAUAUUGUUAUUUAAUUAAUCUUGUGUUUAAAGAUUUGUAUGUGUUAACUAACUCAUAGAAUGAACCUAUGUUUGUAGGGAUCAAUGACCCUAAAUCAAUGAACUUGAACCGUAUUAACUGUUCAACUUAGUAAUUUAUUUAGGAAUAAACAAUUUAAAAUUGUGAUUUAAGGUUUAACGUACCAUAUUUGUCUAUUUUAACUUCAAACUUAUCUAAGAGAUUAUGGAGCUGUCGUGUAAAAUAGUGAGUUAUAUACUAAGAAAAUGAGUUUUAUUAAUAUAAUUAAUGUACAAUUUUUAAUUAAAAAUUAAAAUAAAAUAUUGACGUCUAAAUUUAGAGAUAUGACCACGGUCUUUCAAAAAACCGUGAUAACAUUGAAUUUGUUGUAUAUAUUUUUUUGUAGCAGUGACUUCUUUACUACGAACCACCAACUAUGAUAAAACUUUUUUCACAACCAGUGUGAUAUAUUUUUUUUACCACACUAAAAUCAAAAUGAAUAUUUUUUACCACACUCUAAAUCUCCGUAGCAAGAUUACAAUUUGACCACUGUUUUGUAAAUUGUUGCUAAUCUGAUUUGCUACAAUUUUAGUAAAUAUAAGUAAUAUAUGGUAUUAAUUGUAUUUUCCACGAUGUUUAUGCCAAUAUCUUAAAACAAUAUUAUAAUAUGAGAUGGAUAAUAUUAUGAACAGAUGAAAGAUUACCACAAAAUCUCAAAUGCAUAAACUUUAUUUAUUUGUAAAUAGGAGAACAAAACACAACUUUCUCUCAUGAUUUAUAUUCAUUCCACAUGUAUAAUGCUCUCCUAUCAUGGUAAACUGAUACAAAAUAAAAAUAGAUAUAAAACGAAGGGAUUAAACCCAUAAGUACGUAGGCAAAGUCAAGCAUGGUAACUAAUUGCUAAAUAGCACCACUUAUUUAAUAAAAUAUAUAUUAAUAUGCUUUGUUGGACGCAUGAUUUAGAUAUGAAUUUUAUCUGCUGGAAUUUUUCUAUGAUAUGGUGGCUUAGAAUCAGUUGGUAGUUUGUAAGGACGGGGUGAAGAUGCAUAAAGUGGAUCAAUUUUAUUAUCAGUUGGUGAUGGAUGAGGAGGAGUAAAAUGAUGAAAAAUAUGAUGAAGAUGAGGAGGAAGAUGAUGAAAUAUAGGUGGAAAAGAAACAGAAAGUCCAUGAGGAACAAGGAUAAGGGAAGCAAGGAACAACACUUGUAAGGAUUGAUAAAAGGAGGCCAUAUUUGAAGUUGUGAUUUGUGUGUGCAUAACAUAUAUGGGAUAACCAAGUUUUAUACUAAUCAAGUGCAUAACACUCUUAGGUCUCCAUUGGAUUUUUCUGUGUUGAUUAUUCAAAAAUGUACCACUAUUAUGGCCCAUCGGAUUGUUACAAGUUAUCACUCUAACCAUAAAUGACGACAUGGUUUUAAAACUGUAUAAUUGCUACGGAAGUUAAUUGACUAGCUUAUUAUUUGUGUCCAUUACUUUCUAUUCCAUCGUUUGGUAUCAACUCUAUCUUUCUUGUCCCUAUGCCACUCAAAAAUAAUUUCUUUUUCAUAUUUAUAACAAGUAAGUUGUAUACUUUUUUGAUAAGAACACAAAUUCAGAUAAGUCAUGACAAUACAAUAUCAUAAUUUUCAAAAUAGUUUUUAAAUUUGAGAGGGGAAGUGUGAUUUUUUUGUCUCUUUUAAUUUUUAAUUUUUUUAACUCUCCCCACAAAAUGCCAUUGUUUUGACGAGUUAAAAAUAUAUAUAAAAUGAUCAAUUAGUUGAUUCAAAAAAUUCACCGGUUAAAUGGUUGGACCGGUGAACCGGUUGAGUCACACCGAUUUUCACCAACUAGGGUCCUAUGAAUUUACCGAACUACUUUAUCCUUUGGUUCUCGAUCUAACAUGUUGUUACAUUUGAUAUGAGUCAUUUUAAUAGGCCGCAUUUAAAGCAAGAUGUUAUGACAUUGUUUGAGACAUUUUGUCUCUAUGAGAUCAAAUCAGGAGGCAACAUGUGUAACAUGUGUAGCAAGAUGUUCCACAGAUUGUGAGACAUUCUGCCUCAUCCAGAAGUCAAUCAUCAUAAAGUAAAUCUCGUGCCUUAUGAAUGUUUGUUUCCAUUCUUGUUCAAUCUUGCUUAUUUGUUUCAUGUACUUUUUGGAAUAUGGAAUUUUUCCCAAAAGAUCAAUUUCCAGGAAUUAAAAAGAAAAAAUAUGAUUGUUGAAGAUUUAUCAAAUCAAAGAUUACAAAUCAACUUAAUGAAGAAUAGAUUCUUACAGUUAUGGAUUUGCUUCAGCCACACGAAAUGAUAUUGUCGUAUCUCAAAAAAUGUGAUCCUUCCCGAUGGUCGCGGAAAAAAAAUGAUUUGAACAGAGUCGUCACCGAACUUUAUUUAUUCCAUUGAAGGAAAUGUAAAAUAUCGAUAAAACCCUUAAAAACAGAAAAUGGUCGUCGCAACCAAAUUCAGGUCCGGGAGACGAUUACACAAGGGGAAGAUAUUAGCACCCCUCAUGUCUGUUAUACUCAACGAGAACCUUUUAGUUAAACUUGCGAUUGAAUGUUAGCUAAUUUUAAUUGUUUUCUUCUAAUGGUAAAAAGUUUUAAAAGAAAAAGAAACGAAACCGCAAAAAGUUUUUUCCUAAUGGGUCUCACAAGAUUGCGGGUCUUGCUUCUACGUAUCUCUAGGUGCGAUGGGGAGCUCAAUUCUAUGUAGGUCUGGGUAACACAGAAGAUAUUUUUGGUAUUUUUUGGUUAUAGUGCUUGAUGAGACGAUGAAUCUCGCUCCUACGUAUCUCUAGGUGCGUUGAGAACUCAAAGCUACGUAGUUCUUUGUAGAAAAUGAGUUUUGCUUGAUUGAUUUUAAUGAACAAGUGUUUAGGUCGCAUUCUGACGGUUAAACAUUGGCUUGCUUGCUCGUGGGGGAGGAUUUACACUACUAGAAAAUUCGCUUAUAGUGACUGAUUUAGUGACUAAAAAAUUUCGGUAACUUUAGCCACUGAAUUAGCCACCAAACUUUGACAUCAUGUUAGUAAAAAUUUUUAAGUCGCUAAAUCGAUCACCAAAUAAAAUUAGCCAACGAAUUAUUGACUGAAAUUUUGUGACCAUAAUAUUCAAUGAUCGAAAUUUCGGUCACUAAUAAUUUUGGUGGUUUUCUUUUUUAGUUACUAUUUAUCUCCCAAUUCUCUCAAUUUUUAAAUAUUUUAUGUUUAUCCUAAUUUUUAGGCUUUAGUCAAACUUUCAAUUUUUGUUCUUAUAACAUAUAAACAUAUAUUUUAUAUAAAAAAAUUGAUGAACAAAAUUUAUUAAUUUAAUAAGAAAAUGUAAUUUAAAUGACAUUAUAAUAAUUUAAAUAUAUUCUAAUAAUAUAGACGAGUUUAAAUAUGAAAUUGACAAUUGUUGUGAUGUGUCCCAUGUAGCAUGGUAUUCUAUAACCCAAGGGUGUGAGUUUGAUACUUGCAUGAGACAAUUAUUUUUAUUUAACUUUUAAUUUCUUUAACACACUAAAAUGGUUGUUUAAAUCGGUUCACUAUAUUUUCGAUCACUGAAAAUGGUGUUAUAAUGAUUGAUUUUUAAGCUAUUUCGGUCUCUAAUUCAGUCACUAAAUACCAAAUUUUUAGUAGUGUAAGCUCUAGUUUGUAUUCGCAUUAGAAGGGACUAAACAAUGUUCUUUCUAAAAAGGAUUUCAAUCACACAAGGGCGAGAAAAGAUUGGUUUGAUUGGUUUCGACCGCACAGAGGCGAGUAAAGAUAGGUUUGAUGUGUUGAAUAUUUUUUAGAAGGGGACGAAGAAUGUUCGAGGAAUAUGGAGCGCCCCAAUUAUUUGAUUAUUCGAGGGAUAGUGAGGCGAGCGCCCCUAUUCCUAUUUCGUCCAAUUUGAUAUUUGAAUUUUUUUUUACGGAAGUCGAAUAUUCGCGGUAGUGAGGCGAGCGCCUCCCACUUGCUUAUUCGAGGAAUAAUGAGGUGUGUGUCACCUAUUCCUUUAUCCAAUUGUGAUGGGGCGCGUAGCUUUUAUUGGAAAGAGAGGAUUCCUAGUCACGUGAAAAUGGAUAGCAUAUCCUUCAACUUUUGCUUCCAUCAUUUUCUUUUCUUUUACUUAUACUUUUAUUCUUUUGAAUUUUUUGAUUGGUGGAUAUAAAAACACAUGGAUAGCCAAGUUUGGACCAUUGAUCAAAAUCAAUUUAACAACUAGGAUUAAAAUAAAGAAACACAAAUUAUCAAUCAAUUUAAAAUGACUAACUUGUCCCUUCUAGAUUCUUAAUGAGAUUAGAAUGAAAUUAAUUCAAUUAAGAUAAACAAAAUUCACACACUUUAAAAUAAACGUUAUAAAGUAAAAAUAAAAGGACUUUAAAUGAAUAAAAAAUGCGCUUAAAAAUGCUCGAAAAAUUAAAAUGAAUGCACUAAAAUGACCAGUACAAAAUAAACUUCUGGAAAAUUGACAGGUUUUGUUGUCAAACUUUUAGUAAAAAACGACCUGUCCCGCGGUGGAAAGCGUCCCAGGCUGAUUAAAAUACCAUCGCAAAAGAAGCAGAACAAUUAAACGAGCACGCCAGGUUAAACUACGCAAAUCGUAGAUCAAUAAAACUGACGUCUGUAAGCCCGACCUUUAAAUUUUAUGCCCGCUAAUUUUACGUAUAUUUGAAAAUUGAUUCAACUGGUCUUUCUGUAUAUCUGAAAAUUUAUUCUGGCAAAUAUUUUAGGAAUUAUGCAUGAUGAAAGACAUGUUAUCUUAUGUAGAUGAUGCAAAGUGAAGAAAAGUCGGAUAUAUGAAAGUUUUAAAAUUCUCAGAGAAAAUUGAGGUAUGACAGAUACAUACCCUAAUAGGCUAGCAACUAGAUUUUGUUUCUAUUUAAGAAGGAUCCCUCUAUGUAAAGACUUAAAACUUGAGAAACAAGCAAGACGUGUUUUAGCUGUGCGGUUCCUUUUGUUUUGGUUUUAUGUUUUGUAUUGUUAAACUCUAUUCACUAGUCACAUUCCAAUAUAGAAGAAUAGAGUUUAUUUUGAGUUGUAAUUAAUUUCAUCAUUCAUAAAAUAUUGUAAUUGUUCAAACACUUGGGAGAGUGCUUGAGAAAAAGUGAGAGGGGUUUUGCAUUCAGGUGCUGAAUAAGAUUUCAUGGCUAGUACUUAAGAACAAGAGGUGUUUGCAAACUAUAAGGCGGUCAACCUAUACCAUUUGUACGUUUACUAUUAAGAGUGGAUUUUCUCUCUUAGGUUAACGCCCUCUAGACGUAUGUGACUUUGCACUGAAGUGCAUUAAUAAUUCCUCGUGUCCAUUUACUUGCAUUCUUAUUUUAUUUGUUAUUGCAUUAAUCUUAUCAUACACAUUGUCCCAGACAUUGUGUCUUCCAUAUUUCCAUUAGACGAACAAAACAUCAAUUGGCAUCAGAGCAAGCACCCUAUUCUGGUGAAGUGAGCUCUAGGGAUAUACACAUUUUCUUCAAAAUUGACAAUGCUAAGGAAGAAGGAUUUGUGAAUCGUCCACCUAUCUUAUAUGGAACGAAAUAUGAUUAUUGGAAAUCCUGCAUGGUUUCCUUUCUCAAAUAUAGUGAUAACAAAACAUGGAAGGAAGUAAUCCAAGGAUGGACACCCCCAAAUGGUUACUACACAAGAUGGAACAAAACCCAUGAAGCCAAAGAAGAUUAUUCUAAAGAAGAAGGUGAAGAAUGAAAUGGUAAUUUUUGAGCUCUCAACGCCAUAUUCAAUAGAGUUGACAAAAA
This 10672-nucleotide long non-coding RNA is filed under the name Lathyrus oleraceus (garden pea). RNAcentral's name for it is "Pisum sativum (pea) long non-coding RNA (PSAT_LNC021795)". Lineage: Eukaryota; Viridiplantae; Streptophyta; Magnoliopsida; Fabales; Fabaceae. The record is from RNAcentral.